Molecule: ribosomal RNA, 516 nt
Filed under: uncultured bacterium
Lineage: Bacteria
Description: bacterial SSU rRNA
Rfam family: Bacterial small subunit ribosomal RNA
Source: RNAcentral
CGAUUCUGGCUCAGGAUGAACGCUAGCUACAGGCUUAACACAUGCAAGUCGAGGGGCAGCAGGGCAAUAGCUUGCUAUUGCUGCUGGCGACCGGCGCACGGGUGAGUAACGCGUAUCCAACCUACCCCGCGGUCAGGGACAGCCCGGCGAAAGUCGGAUUAAUACCUGAUGCAGUCAGAAGAGGGCAUCUGAUUUUGACGAAAGAUUGAUCGCCUCGGGAUGGGGAUGCGUAGGAUUAGGCAGGCGGCGGGGUAACGGCCCACCGCGCCGACGAUCCUUAGGGGUUCUGAGAGGAAGGUCCCCCACACUGGUACUGAGACACGGACCAGACUCCUACGGGAGGCAGCAGUGAGGAAUAUUGGUCAAUGGGCGCGAGCCUGAACCAGCCAAGUAGCGUUGCAGGACGACGGCCCUAUGGGUUGUAAACUGCUUUUAUGCGGGGAUAAAGUGCGGCACGUGUGCCGUUUUGUAGGUACCGCAUGAAUAAGGACCGGCUAAUUCCGUGCCAGCAGCCGC